RNAcentral lists this long non-coding RNA (546 nucleotides) under Salmo salar (Atlantic salmon). RNAcentral describes it as "lncRNA (ENSSSAG00000112707.1, ENSSSAG00000121200.1, ENSSSAG00020049424.1)". Lineage: Eukaryota; Metazoa; Chordata; Actinopteri; Salmoniformes; Salmonidae. The record is from RNAcentral.
CUCUAAUAAGGAGUCUGGUUGUGUGUGUUCGCUCCAGGGCCGUGGCUACCCAUGUGUAUCAAUAGGCCUCACAUCACUGGCUCUCUGUGUUAUUGAAUUUCAUGUGGCAGCCUGCACAGACGGAGAGAUGAACCUCUACAAAUCUCUGAUCAGCUGCAGCAAAGUCAUCAGGCUAAACCAAACCACAGAGAUAAGUUAGCAUCUGAAACAAGGUCAUCCCUUGGUGAAAAGACAAAAGUGAACAGUGGCAUUUCAAAUCCGCUUCUACGAAAAGGGAUUAAACGCUUAUCUGUGGUGACUCAUAACUUUAAACCAGUCAAAGACAAGGACCUGAGCCCUAGGACCAUGCCUCAGGACUACCUGGCAUGAUGACUCCUUGCUGUUCCCAGUCCACCUGGCCGUUGUGCUGCUCCAGUUUCAACUGUUCUGCCUGCGGCUAUGGAACCCUGACCUGUUCACCGGACGUGCUUGUUGCACCCUCGACAACUACUAUGAUUAUUAUUAUUUGACCAUGCUGGUCAUUUAUGAACAUUUUAACAUCUUGAC